CGGCUGUAUCACGUUGAAACACCGGUUACCGUACGAUCACCGAAGUUAAGCAACAUCGGGAUAGGUUAAUAUCUAGAUGGGUGACCGCUUGGAUAAUACCAAGUGCU
Acanthosepion pharaonis is the source of this 107-nucleotide non-coding RNA. The record is from the annotation of a GenBank genome assembly. NCBI's taxonomy places the organism in Eukaryota, Metazoa, Mollusca, Cephalopoda, Sepiida, Sepiidae.